Molecule: long non-coding RNA, 290 nt
Organism: Agelaius phoeniceus (red-winged blackbird)
Lineage: Eukaryota; Metazoa; Chordata; Aves; Passeriformes; Icteridae
Source: RefSeq, a predicted model, not a curated record
GGAGGCAAGGAGGGACAGAGGGACGGCCUCGGUGAUUCGGCGAUCGGCCGCGCGGGCUGAGGGUGAGGCUGCGGAAUCCCGAGCCGCAGAUGGGACGGGAGAGGCAGCGCUGCCGGGACACGACGGGGUUAAGCUGGGUCGGCCGCCAUUUUGAAUGGCGGGGAGGUCUCACUGUUGCCCUGUAUCAGAAGAACCUGCCACCGAAUGUGCCUACAGGAAAAUGCAUAAGUAUUCAAGAAAAUUAUAUAAAUUGAAAUGUAAAAAUUAAUAAAGAAUUAUAUGUGUAACAA